AUUUCUAGUUUGACGAAUCUCGUUAAUGAUUAGCAGUUCCAGCCCCGGGGGAGCGAAGAAUCCUCCCCGUCUGCCAGGAGGUGCAGGGCCAGAGCGGGAAGGAGGAGCAGGUUCUCAGUGGAAGUCCUCCCUCAGAUGCUAAGUUGGACAUCUAUAUCAGGUGCUUUACAAAAAAGCUGACCACCCUCCAUCCAGAAAUUAUUGAAUUCUUGGUGA
Lutra lutra (Eurasian river otter) is the source of this 216-nucleotide long non-coding RNA. RefSeq lists it as uncharacterized. The record is from RefSeq and is a predicted model, not a curated record. NCBI's taxonomy places the organism in Eukaryota, Metazoa, Chordata, Mammalia, Carnivora, Mustelidae. The transcript is spliced from 2 exons.